AUGCCCGCCGCGGCGCGCUCCGGUGGACCGGGGCAGGCCAACAUUAUGAUGGGGAGGAGGAAGUUGCAAGCAGUGACCUUGGCGAUCUUGUGUUUCUGGUCAUCUGCUGGGGCACAAACAGUGGAUUUCAAGCCUGCCGACAACUACCUGGUUGACUGUGGGUCUGCCAAGGGCACGACGGUUCUCGGGAGGGACUUCGCUGCCGAUGGGGCAUCUCCGGUGACAGUGUCAACCUCCCAAGAUAUUCUUGCCGGCACCUCGGCCAACGGGGUGUCCUCGUUUGACAACCCGCUGCUUUACCAGACCGCCCGCAUCUUCACGAGCCCGUCAUCCUAUACUUUUCCUAUCCAGAAGCAGGGGCGGCAUUUUGUUCGUCUCUACUUCUUCCCCUUCAUCUACCAGAGUUAUGAUCUCUCCACCGCCAAGUUCACUGUGUCGACCCAAGAUGUGCUCCUGCUCAGUGAUUUCCAGCAGCCGGACAAAACUGCGCCGCUGUUCAAGGAAUACUCUUUGAACAUCACCCGUGACCAGCUUGUCAUUUCCUUCAAGCCGUCAAACGGGAUUGCAUUCAUCAACGCAAUUGAAGUGGUUUCUGUUCCAGAUGAUCUCAUAGCUGAUGUAGCCAAUAUGGUCAACCCUGUGCAGCAGUACAGCGGUUUGACUACACAGUCACUGGAGACGGUGUAUCGUGUCAACAUGGGUGGUCCGAAGGUCUUCCCGAGCAAUGAUACCCUCUCGAGGACUUGGCAGAAGGAUCAGAAGUACAUACUGAACCCCAGUGUGACCAAAACUGCCCAAUAUGGCAAGCCUAUCAAGUAUAGGAAAGGCGGGGCAACUCCACUGACGGCCCCAGAUAUUGUGUACAGUACAGCUACAGAAUUGGCGGCUGCAAACACUUCCAACGCACUUUUCAACAUGACAUGGCAGUUUGAUGUGGAUGCAGGCUUCAGCUAUCUGAUAAGAUUUCACUUCUGUGAUAUAGUCAGCAAGGCACUGAACCAGCUCUACUUCAAUGCAUAUGUGGGAGGCUUCUUUGCACAGCAUGAUCUUGAUCUCUCAGAGCAAUCGGUGAAUCAACUGGCUACAGCUAUCUAUGUUGACGUGGUUCUUUCUUCCAAUGAUGCAUCUAGCAAGCUCAGCAUCAGUAUUGGUCCGUCCACCUUGAACAAUGCAUUGCCUGAUGGGAUUCUGAAUGGCCUGGAGAUUAUGAAGAUGGGCAGUGGCUCUGGUUCUGCUUUCACUGUUGGGAAUAACGGUUCAAACAAAAGGUUGCCCAUAAUUAUUGGCUCAGUCCUUGGGGUUGUUGGGCUUCUGAUAAUUGUCCUUGUUGUGGUACUGCUUUGCCGGAGGAAGAAGACCGACGACAAGCAGCACUCGAAGACCUGGAUGCCUUUCUCUAUCAAUGGGCUCACGUCUCUCAGUACAGGAAGCAGAACUUCCUAUGGUACUACACUAACAUCAGGUCUGAAUGGAAGCUAUGGAUAUCGGUUUGCCUUCAAUGUGCUCCAAGAAGCAACAAACAAUUUUGAUGAGAGCUGGGUGAUUGGAGUCGGAGGUUUUGGGAAAGUCUACAAGGGUGCCUUGAGGGAUGACACAAAGGUUGCAGUGAAGCGAGGAAACCCCAAGUCCCAGCAAGGUCUCAAUGAGUUCCGGACAGAGAUCGAGCUCCUUUCACGUCUGCGUCACCGCCACCUGGUGUCUCUUAUUGGGUACUGUGAUGAAAGGAAUGAGAUGAUCUUGGUCUAUGAGUACAUGGAGAACGGAACCGUCAAGAGCCACCUGUAUGGUUCAGACAACCCCUCACUCAACUGGAAGCAACGCCUGGAGAUCUGCAUUGGAGCAGCAAGGGGGCUACACUAUCUUCAUACAGGUUCUGCGAAGGCCAUUAUCCACCGUGAUGUCAAGUCUGCAAACAUCUUGCUUGAUGAAAAUCUCCUUGCCAAAGUCGCCGACUUUGGGCUGUCAAAGACCGGGCCUGAGCUGGAUCAGACUCAUGUCAGCACUGCAGUGAAGGGUAGCUUUGGUUACCUUGACCCUGAAUACUUCCGAAGGCAGCAGCUGACUGAGAAGUCGGACGUCUACUCCUUCGGUGUUGUCAUGCUGGAGGUGCUCUGCGCGAGGCCGGUGAUCGACCCUUCGCUCCCGAGGGAAAUGGUGAACUUGGCAGAGUGGGGAAUGAAGUGGCAGAAGAGAGGAGAGCUGCACCAGAUCGUCGACCAGAAGCUUUCCGGCGCGAUCAGGCCGGACUCUCUGAGGAAGUUCGGUGAGACGGUGGAGAAGUGCCUGGCAGACUACGGCGUGGAGCGGCCGUCGAUGGGGGACGUCCUCUGGAACUUGGAGUAUGUCCUGCAGCUCCAGGAUGUGGAUUCUUCGACCGUGUCGGACGUGAACAGCAUGAACCGGAUCGUCGACCUGUCGUCGCAGGUUCAACAUGUGGGUGCCAUGGAGAGCAUCAGCGUGACGAUGGCGGAGGACGGAGCUUUGCACGAGCCUGACCACGACCUCUCCGACGUGUCGAUGAGCAGGGUUUUCUCACAGCUGAUCAAAGCCGAGGGGAGGUGA
RNAcentral lists this ribosomal RNA (2562 nucleotides) under Triticum aestivum (bread wheat). Its description in RNAcentral is "partial small subunit ribosomal RNA". Lineage: Eukaryota; Viridiplantae; Streptophyta; Magnoliopsida; Poales; Poaceae. The record is from RNAcentral.